Homo sapiens (human) is the source of this 972-nucleotide long non-coding RNA. Ensembl annotates it as long intergenic non-protein coding RNA 616. The record is from Ensembl. Lineage: Eukaryota; Metazoa; Chordata; Mammalia; Primates; Hominidae.
CACACCUGCAAUCUGACCCCUGACUGUGAAGCCACCGAAAGGAGACUCAUGCAGGUGAAUCCCUGGGUGAUGCUCUUCUGUCUGGACAUCUGGUAGCUGCUGAAAACAAUAGCUAUCAACUCAAAGAGUUUUAUCCAAAACAACUGAUGUAGAAGCUGCAGUUUGCCUCCACCUCUGAAGAAGCACAAUACACCUUUCUGGGUUACCAAUGGGAUACUUCCCAACAGCUUUGUCAUCACAUACAAUAUUCUCAAACAAGAUCUUAAUGGCAUCUACUUUCUCCAGGAACACAGCCCCUGACCUGUGUGUGUUUGCGUAGAGAAGGCAUGCUAUGUACCCCCUAGGAUAUCAAGAUUCCUGUAGCAGAUUGAGCUCUGGCAGUUGAUCUCAGUGGCUUGAUAGAGUGUCAUUAUAAAAACGCACCUGGAAGAUUCUGUGGAAAAGACAACCUCAGAAGACCAAGAGGCUGACUUUGCAAGAGAGAGUCCGUUUACCACUUAGAACCGUGAACACCACCCCCGCCCUCAUUUAUCUCCAGACUUGAACUAGUGGUUAAAUCCCAACAUGUCCCAGAGAAGUCAAAAGCAUUGUAAAAUCUGGGAAUCUGCCCACCACUCAAGCCUGGGAAAGCUGGCAGAGGAUGCACGUGUUUUACUCACCUGAGUGUUUACAAUGCUCGUGAGGUGCCUCCCUGAUAGGAAAGGCUGGUAAAAUGCCACAGCGUUCUGGCUAAAGCAACAACGCAAUUGUGAAGAGAGAAAACUGCAUUCAUCCACAUGUCCCAGCAAGAGCUAUCACCAAAGGCAUUGUGAAGCAGUUGAGCAGUUACAUCUGCUCUCCUUUAACAGGAAUGAGUCUUUAGUACCCGGUUGCAAAUGUUGACUUUUACCUUUUCUUUAAAUGUCUGCUACUCUUUGUCAUAUUUCUUCUCCUUCUCUCCAAAUUCUACCAAUAAAAGUAAAAAUUACUGAA